GACGAACGCUGGCGGCGUGCUUAACACAUGCAAGUCGAACGAUGAAGCCUAGCUUGCUAGGUGGAUUAGUGGCGAACGGGUGAGUAAUACGUGAGUAACCUACCUUUAACUCUGGGAUAAGCCCGGGAAACUGGGUCUAAUACCGGAUACGACCAAUCUCCGCAUGGGGUGUUGGUGGAAAGCGUUAUGUAGUGGUUAUAGAUGGGCUCACGGCCUAUCAGCUUGUUGGUGAGGUAACGGCUCACCAAGUCGACGACGGGUAGCCGGCCUGAGAGGGUGACCGGCCACACUGGGACUGAGACACGGCCCAGACUCCUACGGGAGGCAGCAGUGGGGAAUAUUGCACAAUGGGCGCAAGCCUGAUGCAGCGACGCCGCGUGAGGGAUGACGGCCUUCGGGUUGUAAACCUCUGUUAGCAGGGAAGAAGAGAGAUUGACGGUACCUGCAGAGAAAGCGCCGGCUAACUACGUG
Molecule: ribosomal RNA, 471 nt
Filed under: uncultured bacterium
Lineage: Bacteria
Description: partial 16S ribosomal RNA
Rfam family: Bacterial small subunit ribosomal RNA
Source: RNAcentral